Molecule: unclassified non-coding RNA, 324 nt
Filed under: soil metagenome
Description: partial contains 5.8S ribosomal RNA, internal transcribed spacer 2, and large subunit ribosomal RNA
Rfam family: 5.8S ribosomal RNA (bases 1-120)
Source: RNAcentral
GAUGAAGAACGUAGCGAAAUGCGAUAGGUAGUGUGAAUUGCAGAAUUCAGUGAAUCAUCGAAUCUUUGAACGCACAUUGCGCCCCUUGGUAUUCCAUGGGGCAUGCCUGUUCGAGCGUCAUUUGUACCUUCAAGCUUUGCUUGGUGUUGGGUGUUUGUCCCGAGGGACUCGCCUUAAAGUAAUUGGCAGCCAGUGUUUGGUUUUGAAGCGCAGCACAAGUCGCGAUUCAAGGCUACACGCCCGCUUCCACAAGCCUUUUUUCACUUUUGACCUCGGAUCAGGUAGGGAUACCCGCUGAACUUAAGCAUAUCAAUAAGCGGAGGA